RNAcentral lists this non-coding RNA (97 nucleotides) under Flavobacterium sp. RNAcentral describes it as "SAM-I-IV sequence". It matches the Rfam family "SAM-I/IV (S-adenosyl methionine) riboswitch aptamer". From Rfam's summary of the family: It is found upstream of a number of genes which code for proteins involved in methionine or cysteine biosynthesis. It has been found mostly in the order Actinomycetales. RNAcentral also lists the same sequence under 1 other name. Lineage: Bacteria; Pseudomonadati; Bacteroidota; Flavobacteriia; Flavobacteriales; Flavobacteriaceae. The record is from RNAcentral.
AUCCGUUAUCACGAAUCUCAUAAAGAGAUAGCAACCUGCAACAACAAGCAAGGUGCUAAAACGAUAAGCCAAAUCCUUUGGAAAAAAUGUUGCCAUU